RNAcentral lists this long non-coding RNA (861 nucleotides) under Homo sapiens (human). RNAcentral's name for it is "MIR122 host gene". The record is from RNAcentral. Lineage: Eukaryota; Metazoa; Chordata; Mammalia; Primates; Hominidae.
GUUGGUCAAGAGCUCUACGUAGCAUGAGCCAAGGAUCUAUUGAACUUAGUAGGCUCCUGUGACCGGUGACUCUUCUGUCUCUAGAAAUCUGGGGAGGUGACCAGGUCAUACAUGGCAGUCUUCCCGUGAGGAACGUUAAACUGGUUGGAAGUUGGGGUUCUGAGGGGAAGAUGUAUUCACUAGGUGACCUGUCUUCUCUGCCUCGGUGGCCUCCAUGGCUGCCUGCUGGCCGCACACCCCCACUCAGCAGAGGAAUGGACUUUCCAAUCUUGCUGAGUGUGUUUGACCAAAGGUGGUGCUGACUUAGUGGCCUAAGGUCGUGCCCUCCCUCCCCCACUGAAUCGAUAAAUAAUGCGACUUAUCAGAAAGAGAAAGAAUUGUUUACUUUUAAACCCUGGAUCCCAUAAAGGGAGAGGGGAGAGGCCUAAAGCCACAGAAGCUGUGGAAGGCGCCAUCCUGCCUGCCACAGGAAGGGCCUUGGACUGAGAGGACCGGAGCUGACUGGGGAUUAUUCAAAGCCAAAAGCCAACAGAGCCCCCAUGGAGAAGUGGAGGAUGCUCAGAUACUGCUAUGGAGCCCUGAGAAGUGAAAUGGGUCCAAGCCCUUGCCCAGGAUAGAGCGCUCCAAGCGCAUCCUCCGGGGACCCUUUUAAUCAGUGAAUUGUUCACCUCUCACUGUUUCUUCCCAGCAGAGCUAAGAGACUUCUAGAGCCUCUUGUGGAUGGUCAGCGAUAGCCCUGAUUGAACAUUUGAGCAAGACCAGAUGCCUUUAUAUCCAAUAGAUGCCACGGAGAGUAGAUCACAACACAUCUAACUGCUGUAUCCCCAUAUAAAAUAAUUUUAAUUUUCCUAGACUGCAGAA